This 18-nucleotide unclassified non-coding RNA is filed under the name Chlamydomonas reinhardtii. RNAcentral's name for it is "small RNA Cre_1914". The record is from RNAcentral. Lineage: Eukaryota; Viridiplantae; Chlorophyta; Chlorophyceae; Chlamydomonadales; Chlamydomonadaceae.
GGGCUUGGGGAGGGCAGG